This 1717-nucleotide ribosomal RNA is filed under the name Elenchus varleyi. RNAcentral's name for it is "partial 18S small subunit ribosomal RNA". The stretch from base 1 to 849 matches the Rfam family "Eukaryotic small subunit ribosomal RNA", at positions 57 to 605 of the family's 1831-position model. Lineage: Eukaryota; Metazoa; Arthropoda; Insecta; Strepsiptera; Elenchidae. The record is from RNAcentral.
GUGUAAGUACUAGCCAAAACUAAAAUGGUGAAACCGCGAAAAGCUCAUUAAAUCGGCUUUGGUUCCUUAGAUAGUAAGCAGAAAUGAUUUUUCAAAAAUUAAAUGUAAAAAUUUAAUUUUGAAAAAAAAAUUCUGACAUUGGAUAACUGUGGUAAUUCUAGAGCUAAUACAUGAAAAUUAAAUCAGUGUGAAAUUUUUUGUAAAAGAAAAUAUUUUGCACGCUUUUAUUAGAGGAAAAAGCCAAUUUAAAAAUAAUUUUUUUUCUUAAAAAAAAUUAUUUAAUAUUUAUAAAAUAAAUUUGAAAUUGUAAAAAUUUUAAAUUUUUUAAGUGUUGAAUCUGAAUAACUUAAACAAAUUUCUAUAAAAAAAAUUAUGUUAUUUUUUAAUGUUUUUUAUAAGUAUCAUUUAUGAUAUUUUUUGAAAUGUUAAAAUUUAUAUAGUUUUUUUAUUAUUAUAGAAAUUUAAAGCUGACCGCAACAAUAUGCUUUUUAAAAAAAUUUUUAUAAUGAAAAUUUUUUCAAAUAGUAUUGCGGCGUAUCUUUCAAUUGUCUGCCUUAUCAACUUUCGAUGGUAGGUUACAUGCCUACCAUGGUUAUAACGGGUAACGGAGAAUCAGGGUUCGAUUCCGGAGAGGGAGCCUGAGAAACGGCUACCACAUCUAAGGAAGGCAGCAGGCACGCAAAUUACCCACUCCCGGCUCGGGGAGGUAGUGACGAUAAAUAACGAUACGGAACUCUUAUGAGUUUCCGUGAUCGGAAUGAGUGUAAUUUAAAUCCUUAUACGAGGAGCAAAUGGAGGGCAAGUCUGGUGCCAGCAGCCGCGGUAAUUCCAGCUCCAUUAGCAUAUAUUAAAGUUGUUGCGUUUAAANNNNNNNNNNNNGAAUCUGUAUCUCGGCGUGUCAGUCGUUUAGUAAUUUAAAUAUUAUUAAAUUUGAUAUGACAAAUUUCGCAUGAGAUAUAAAUAUUGGUGGAUUUUUUAAGUAAUUAUAUUUUAUAAAAGAAAUUUUUUUUUUUUUUUAUAUUAAUAUAAUUAUUAAAUUCGAUACAAAAUAAAUUUUUUUUAUUAAUAUAAAUUAUUUAUAGAAAAAGUGAAUUUUUUUUAAAUCGAAAAUUAUUUAUAAUUUUUGUCUAUUAAAAAAUUUAUUUUAUUUUUAGAUAUUUAAUAAAUUUUUACUCAAAUCAAUAAUAAUAUUAUAAUGGUAAUUAAAAUUAAUUUUUUUUUUACCUAAUUAUUAUUGAAAAAAUUUAAUUUAAGUAAUUUAAAAAAAAGUUAAUCAAUUAUUUAUUUAUUUGAUUAAUAAUUUUUUUGUUUUAAAUAAUUUAUUUAAUUAUCGUAAAAAUAUUUUGUAUUCUAAUUAAAAUUUGUAUUAUUAUAUAAAUUUUAUUAUUUUAGACCCAUAAAAUUACUUUGAACAAAUUAGAGUGCUUAAAGCAGGCAAAAUUAAAUGCCUUGAAUAUAAACAGCCUGGAAUAAUAGAAUAUGAUCUCGAUACUGUUUUUUUUUAAUUUUUUUUAAAAUAAUUUUAAAAAAAAUAUUUAAUGUUAGAAAAAAUUUUAUUAUUUUUUCGAAUGUAUAAAAUUUUUUUCAUACAUUUUAAAUUGGCUUAAAGAAUAAAUAAUUUUUGAAAAAAUUUUAUUUUAGAAAAUAAAUUAAAUUUUUUUAAUUAAAAAUUUAAUUAUUUUCAUGAUAUAAAUAACAUAAAAAANUUAUUUCGACA